Long non-coding RNA from Hydra vulgaris (swiftwater hydra), 333 nucleotides. RefSeq lists it as uncharacterized. The record is from RefSeq and is a predicted model, not a curated record. NCBI's taxonomy places the organism in Eukaryota, Metazoa, Cnidaria, Hydrozoa, Anthoathecata, Hydridae.
CCGCUAGCCAAUAUCUUAUUUUGAAUUCUGGAACAGAACCCUCCGAAUUGUACUAAGACUAGCUUUGCUCUACAAAAUUUUGUAAUACUUUUUAGAUUAAAAUGAGUGAAGAUAAUAUUUCUCUAAAUUUUGAGCAUUGAUUAGAUGCACAGCAAAUUGAUGCACAACCAAACACUGCUGAAGCUUUAAAUCCGGCUGCUGCGACAGAAAAUAAGUACAUAUUGGCCAGAUAUGCAAAUGCAAGAAUAAUAGAGCACAAUGUUUCACAGAGUGCAUUAUGUUGUAACUUUCAAUUUAGAAAUGAAAAAAAUGUUGAAGGUUUGCAAUGUUAAA